This is a long non-coding RNA of Felis catus (domestic cat), 1255 nucleotides long. RefSeq lists it as uncharacterized. Lineage: Eukaryota; Metazoa; Chordata; Mammalia; Carnivora; Felidae. The record is from RefSeq and is a predicted model, not a curated record. The transcript has 2 exons.
AGCCCGAGGAGGGGCUCAAACUCACAGACCUCGAGGUCAUGACCUGAGCCAAAGUCGGAAGCUCAACCCACCGAGCCACCCAGGGGCUGACAAUUGGAGACAUUUAAGUGCAGACUGUGUAUUCGUCUCUAAUUCUUUAGCAGCCUCAGAGCAGAAGGGCUAAGGAAGAGACAACAAUGGGAGCUUAGUGCCCGCCAAGGGGAGGGGAUCUGGUUAACACCUUCAGCUAAAGUCGGAGCCCCAGAGGGAUACACCCUAGGGGAAGGGGUGUACCAAUCAGCUCUCAGAGCAACCAAAGACUGAGUCUGAUCAGCUCAGACCCUAUUUGGAUUAAAAGAAUCUGCCUCCCCCACCUCCACCUCCCCAUUCUCACUGUGUGAGAACCUGAUCCACUUGAGACAAAGCUAAUACCUUUUCAAGUUGGAACUAUGCCUGCAGCUCCGUGACAGGAGUUAACACCCAUUGGGUAUUUACUUCAUGCCAGAUAUGGUUCUAAGGUGCUUUCGUAUAUUAUUUCCUUUAAUCUCCACAGAAACCCUGUAAUGCAGGUCUGGCACUGGUUUUACAGAUGACGAGCAUAAGGGACAGACGUCUCAAGGAACCGGUUCCUACCCCUGAGCUAACAAGUGGCAUACUCAGGUUCUGAAUCCAGCCGAUCCGGGUCCAACAUUUCCCACCUUAAUUGCAAUGGUAUUCAUUGUUAUCAGCCUCUCAUCUGAUCUUGAGGCUUGUGCAUCUCGACUUCUGAUCUCAUCGUGACUAUCUCAAAGGAUCACUAAAUCUCCAAAGUCAAAGUCCCGCUUGCUCGGGGAACCAGUCCCCUUCCCUCCAGUUUUGCAGGUGUAAUACGCCCAUGGGUCGUGCACCGUGUGGUUUUUAUCAUCACAGUGGGGACUCAAGUUUUCGGAAGGAUACACCAGGCUGGGCUUCCACAUGGAUGUGUUUGCUCACGUCUCACACUUCACUUGGUAUGGCCAGAACAUGGCUGUCUUAGACUUCCUCAAAUCCCAAGGAUCUCAUGGUUUCUGGACUUAAUGGUGACUGGCUUCUACCAUAGUGAGCCUAUAUGCUAUCCAGUCUCCUCCAUUUUUCUUGCUUCUUCCAGCUGACUAACCCCCACAGGGAAGUGGGGUUAACACAACUGAAAUGUCUGGGGUUUUGGUUUUUUUUUUUUUUUUGAAUGGUGCUUUUGUGAAUGAUCACAGCUUCUUUCUUGAAGCUUGAAACACCUGGAAAUAAAGGAACAGUAUAUUCC